CGCAAUGGGCGAAAGCCUGAUGGAGCGACACCGCGUGAAGGAUGAAGCCUUUGUUGGUGUAAACUUCUUUUCUCUGGGAAGAUAAUGACGGUACCAGAGGAAUAAGGGGCGGCAAACUUCGUGCCAGCAGCCGCGGUAAUACGAAGGCCCCAAGCGUUAUCCGGAAUUACUGGGCGUAAAGCGUCUGUAGGUGGUUCGGAAAGUUUCAAGUGAAAGGUCAGGGCUCAACCCUGUACUUGCUUGGAAAACUAUCGAACUUGAGUGCGGGAGAGGCAAGCAGAACUGUAUGAGUAGGGGUGCAAUCCGUUGAUACAUACAAGAAUACCAAAAGCGAAGGCAGCUUGCUGGAACGCCACUGACACUGAGAGACGAAAGCGU
This 378-nucleotide ribosomal RNA is filed under the name uncultured bacterium. RNAcentral's name for it is "bacterial SSU rRNA". It matches the Rfam family "Bacterial small subunit ribosomal RNA", at positions 367 to 762 of the family's 1533-position model. The record is from RNAcentral.